RNAcentral lists this ribosomal RNA (397 nucleotides) under uncultured bacterium. RNAcentral's name for it is "partial 16S ribosomal RNA". It matches the Rfam family "Bacterial small subunit ribosomal RNA", at positions 523 to 918 of the family's 1533-position model. The record is from RNAcentral.
AUACGUAGGGGGCGAGCGUUGUCCGGAAUGAUUGGGCGUAAAGGGCGCGUAGGCGGCGCGGUAAGUCUGGAGUGAAAGUCCUGCUUUCAAGGGGGGAAUUGCUUUGGAUACUGCCGCGCUUGAGUGCAGGAGAGGUUAUCGGAAUUCCCGGUGUAGCGGUGAAAUGCGUAGAGAUCGGGAGGAACACCAGUGGCGAAGGCGGGUAACUGGACUGCAACUGACGCUGAGGCGCGAAAGUGUGGGGAGCAAACAGGAUUAGAUACCCUGGUAGUCCACACUGUAAACGAUGAAUGCUAGGUGUAAGAGGUAUCGACCCCUUUUGUGCCGGAGUCAACACAAUAAGCAUUCCGCCUGGGGAGUACGGCCGCAAGGUUGAAACUCAAAGGAAUUGACGGGG